CAGGUUGAAGCGAGGGUAAAACCUCGUGGAGGACCGAACCACGUUGCUGUUGAAAAAGCAUGGGAUGAGCUGUGGAUAGCGGAGAAAUUCCAAUCGAACUCGGAUAUAGCUGGUUCUCCUCGAAAUAGCUUUAGGGCUAGCGUCGUGAAAUGUGAGUACUGGAGGUAGAGCACUGAAUAGGCUAGGGGGCAUAGCGCUUACCGAACCUUAUCAAACUCCGAAUGCCAGAUACUAUCAGCACGGCAGUCAGACUAUGAAAGAUAAGUUCCAUGGUCAAAAGGGAAACAGCCCAGAUCGUCAGCUAAGGUCCCAAAGUGUAAGUUAAGUGGAAAAGGAUGUGGGAUUUCUAAGACAACUAGGAUGUUGGCUUAGAAGCAGCCACUCAUUAAAAGAGUGCGUAAUAGCUCACUAGUCAAGAGAUCCUGCGCCGAAAAUGUCCGGGGCUCAAACUUACCACCGAAGCUACGGGUUCAUACUUUGUAUGAGCGGUAGAGGAGCGUCGUAAUCGGGCUGAAGUCGUACCGUAAGGAGCGGUGGACUGAUUACGAGUGAGAAUGUUGGCAUUAGUAGCGAGAUGUAGGUGAGAAUCCUACAGGCCGAAUAUCUAAGGUUUCCUGAGUAAAGUUUGUCUUCUCAGGGUUAGUCGGGACCUAAGGCGAGGCCGAGAGGCGUAGUCGAUGGACAAUUGGUUGAUAUUCCAAUACCACUAUAAUCGUUAUUAUCGAUGGUGUGACGGAGAAGGAUAGGAUGUGCCAGCUAUUGGAUGCUGGUCUAAGCGUUGAGGGAGUUAGAACAGGCAAAUCCGUUCUAACAAUCCUAGGGCGUGAUGGGGAAGGUUCCACGGAACCGAAGUAUCUGAUUUCAUGCUUCCAAGAAAAGCAUCUAGAAAGAGAAGUAGUGCCCGUACCGCAAACCGACACAGGUAGAUGAGGAGAGAAUCCUAAGGCCGACGGAAGAAUCACAGUUAAGGAACUAGGCAAAUUGACCCCGUAACUUCGGGAGAAGGGGUGCCUACCAUCUGGUAGGCCGCAGAGAAUAGGCACAAGCAACUGUUUAACAAAAACACAGGUCUCUGCUAAAGCGUAAGCUGAUGUAUAGGGGCUGACGCCUGCCCGGUGCUGGAAGGUUAAGGGGAACACUUAGCGCAAGCGAAGGU
RNAcentral lists this ribosomal RNA (1156 nucleotides) under Clostridium perfringens. Its description in RNAcentral is "partial 23S ribosomal RNA". It matches the Rfam family "Bacterial large subunit ribosomal RNA", at positions 741 to 1906 of the family's 2925-position model. Lineage: Bacteria; Bacillati; Bacillota; Clostridia; Eubacteriales; Clostridiaceae. The record is from RNAcentral.